CUCUGUUUCCACACGGGAUUCAGGGCGGAAGGAG
Non-coding RNA from Bacillus sp. Co1-6, 34 nucleotides. The record is from Rfam. Lineage: Bacteria; Bacillati; Bacillota; Bacilli; Caryophanales; Bacillaceae.